GAUGAACGCUGGCGGCGUGCCUAAUACAUGCAAGUCGAGCGAACAGACGAGGAGCUUGCUCCUCUGACGUUAGCGGCGGACGGGUGAGUAACACGUGGAUAACCUACCUAUAAGACUGGGAUAACUUCGGGAAACCGGAGCUAAUACCGGAUAAUAUAUUGAACCGCAUGGUUCAAUAGUGAAAGACGGUUUUGCUGUCACUUAUAGAUGGAUCCGCGCCGCAUUAGCUAGUUGGUAAGGUAACGGCUUACCAAGGCGACGAUGCGUAGCCGACCUGAGAGGGUGAUCGGCCACACUAGAACUGAGACACGGACCAGACUCCUACGGGAGGCAGCAGUAGGGAAUCUGCCGCAAUGGGCGAAAGCCUGACGGAGCAACGCCGCGUGAGUGAUGAAGGUCUUCGGAUCGUAAAACUCUGUUAUUAGGGAAGAACAAAUGUGUAAGUAACUAUGCACGUCUUGACGGUACCUAAUCAGAAAGCCACGGCUAACUACGUG
Molecule: ribosomal RNA, 497 nt
Filed under: uncultured bacterium
Lineage: Bacteria
Description: partial 16S ribosomal RNA
Rfam family: Bacterial small subunit ribosomal RNA
Source: RNAcentral